This 1492-nucleotide ribosomal RNA is filed under the name Lacticaseibacillus paracasei. Its description in RNAcentral is "bacterial SSU rRNA". It matches the Rfam family "Bacterial small subunit ribosomal RNA". The record is from RNAcentral. Lineage: Bacteria; Bacillati; Bacillota; Bacilli; Lactobacillales; Lactobacillaceae.
GAUGAACGCUGGCGGCGUGCCUAAUACAUGCAAGUCGAACGAGUUCUCGUUGAUGAUUGGUGCUUGCACCGAGAUUCAACAUGGAACGAGUGGCGGACGGGUGAGUAACACGUGGGUAACCUGCCCUUAAGUGGGGGAUAACAUUUGGAAACAGAUGCUAAUACCGCAUAGAUCCAAGAACCGCAUGGUUCUUGGCUGAAAGAUGGCGUAAGCUAUCGCUUUUGGAUGGACCCGCGGCGUAUUAGCUAGUUGGUGAGGUAAUGGCUCACCAAGGCGAUGAUACGUAGCCGAACUGAGAGGUUGAUCGGCCACAUUGGGACUGAGACACGGCCCAAACUCCUACGGGAGGCAGCAGUAGGGAAUCUUCCACAAUGGACGCAAGUCUGAUGGAGCAACGCCGCGUGAGUGAAGAAGGCUUUCGGGUCGUAAAACUCUGUUGUUGGAGAAGAAUGGUCGGCAGAGUAACUGUUGUCGGCGUGACGGUAUCCAACCAGAAAGCCACGGCUAACUACGUGCCAGCAGCCGCGGUAAUACGUAGGUGGCAAGCGUUAUCCGGAUUUAUUGGGCGUAAAGCGAGCGCAGGCGGUUUUUUAAGUCUGAUGUGAAAGCCCUCGGCUUAACCGAGGAAGCGCAUCGGAAACUGGGAAACUUGAGUGCAGAAGAGGACAGUGGAACUCCAUGUGUAGCGGUGAAAUGCGUAGAUAUAUGGAAGAACACCAGUGGCGAAGGCGGCUGUCUGGUCUGUAACUGACGCUGAGGCUCGAAAGCAUGGGUAGCGAACAGGAUUAGAUACCCUGGUAGUCCAUGCCGUAAACGAUGAAUGCUAGGUGUUGGAGGGUUUCCGCCCUUCAGUGCCGCAGCUAACGCAUUAAGCAUUCCGCCUGGGGAGUACGACCGCAAGGUUGAAACUCAAAGGAAUUGACGGGGGCCCGCACAAGCGGUGGAGCAUGUGGUUUAAUUCGAAGCAACGCGAAGAACCUUACCAGGUCUUGACAUCUUUUGAUCACCUGAGAGAUCAGGCUUCCCCUUCGGGGGCAAAAUGACAGGUGGUGCAUGGUUGUCGUCAGCUCGUGUCGUGAGAUGUUGGGUUAAGUCCCGCAACGAGCGCAACCCUUAUGACUAGUUGCCAGCAUUUAGUUGGGCACUCUAGUAAGACUGCCGGUGACAAACCGGAGGAAGGUGGGGAUGACGUCAAAUCAUCAUGCCCCUUAUGACCUGGGCUACACACGUGCUACAAUGGAUGGUACAACGAGUUGCGAGACCGCGAGGUCAAGCUAAUCUCUUAAAGCCAUUCUCAGUUCGGACUGUAGGCUGCAACUCGCCUACACGAAGUCGGAAUCGCUAGUAAUCGCGGAUCAGCACGCCGCGGUGAAUACGUUCCCGGGCCUUGUACACACCGCCCGUCACACCAUGAGAGUUUGUAACACCCGAAGCCGGUGGCGUAACCCUUUUAGGGAGCGAGCCGUCUAAGGUGGGACAAAUGAUUAGGGUG